GACAGAGGAUGCAAGCGUUAUCCGGAAUGAUUGGGCGUAAAGCGUCUGUAGGUGGCUUUUCAAGUCCGCCGUCAAAUCCCAGGGCUCAACCCUGGACAGGCGGUGGAAACUACCAAGCUGGAGUACGGUAGGGGCAGAGGGAAUUUCCGGUGGAGCGGUGAAAUGCAUUGAGAUCGGAAGGAACACCUGUGGCGAAAGCGGCUCACUGGACCAUUACUGACGCUGAGGCACGAAAGCUAGGGGAGCAAACAGG
This 253-nucleotide ribosomal RNA is filed under the name uncultured bacterium. RNAcentral describes it as "partial 16S ribosomal RNA". It matches the Rfam family "Bacterial small subunit ribosomal RNA", at positions 524 to 776 of the family's 1533-position model. The record is from RNAcentral.